UGGAAUAUAGCCAAGUGGAAAGGCACUCGUUUUUGAUACGACUAUUCAGGGGUUCAAGUCCCUUUAUUCCAA
This 72-nucleotide transfer RNA is filed under the name Proschkinia sp. SZCZR1824. RNAcentral's name for it is "tRNA-Gln". It matches the Rfam family "tRNA". From Rfam's summary of the family: Transfer RNA (tRNA) molecules are approximately 80 nucleotides in length. Their secondary structure includes four short double-helical elements and three loops (D, anti-codon, and T loops). Further hydrogen bonds mediate the characteristic L-shaped molecular structure. tRNAs have two regions of fundamental functional importance: the anti-codon, which is responsible for specific mRNA codon recognition, and the 3' end, to which the tRNAs corresponding amino acid is attached (by aminoacyl-tRNA synthetases). tRNAs cope with the degeneracy of the genetic code in two manners: having more than one tRNA (with a specific anti-codon) for a particular amino acid; and 'wobble' base-pairing, i.e. permitting non-standard base-pairing at the 3rd anti-codon position. Lineage: Eukaryota; Bacillariophyta; Bacillariophyceae; Naviculales; Stauroneidaceae. The record is from RNAcentral.